This 200-nucleotide ribosomal RNA is filed under the name uncultured bacterium. RNAcentral describes it as "partial 16S ribosomal RNA". It matches the Rfam family "Bacterial small subunit ribosomal RNA", at positions 1302 to 1500 of the family's 1533-position model. The record is from RNAcentral.
AGUCUGCAACUCGACUGCACGAAGACUGGAAUCGCUAGUAAUCGCGGAUCAGCACGCCGCGGUGAAUACGUUCCCGGGUCUUGUACACACCGCCCGUCACACCAUGGGAGUCGGAAAUGCCCGAAGUCUGUGACCCAACCUCAGGGAGGGAGCAGCCGAAGGCAGGUCGGAUGACUGGGGUGAAGUCGUAACAAGGUAUC